GGAUAGGGAAGCCUGGCGUGCUGCAGACCAUGGUGUCACAAAGAGUUGGACACGACCUAGUAACUGAACAUCAGAGUUAAUCGCCUUAAACUACACAUUGCUUUUACCACUGAUGAACAAUUUCUUCUUUCUGCCUUUUAUUUUUUUCAUUUGGUAUUUAUUUAUCCAUCUCCCUUAAGAACCAGGACUCUUUGACCCAUGUCAGCAUCCCCCAUGGUACCCAACCAAACGCAUGGAAAAGAAGAUGGUGAAGAGGAACAGGAUGUAGAGGAGGGAUGAGCCAGAUCUCCUGAUACGAGGCAAGAUGGGGGGGUGUGGGGUGGAGCCCCGGGAGGAGAGCUGGGGGCCAAGGCUCCAGAGACACUGCCUGUGUCACCAGUAUCCCGGGUGUCCUGCCUCGGGAUGAAAUGUUGGGCUCUAGUCUCCCAUGGGAACGCUAAUUAGCUGGGUGACUUUAAUCAAGUUGGUUUGCCUCUCUGGGCCUCAGCAUCCUUGCCUAUGGAAUGAAGGAAAUGCGCUAAACCCAAGGAUCUCUUCCAACCCUGGAUUCCAUACCUUUUUGUUCCACCUCCAGACACAACAGUGUCACGCUAAGCUUGCAAUGAUCACAGGGUGAGGUCUCUGCCUGGCUCCUCCAUCAAACCUUGAGCUCCUCCAAGAAAAGUACCACACACUGGAUUUUGUCGGCUGCUGCCGCCUUUUCAUUUCCCCCUGGACCUGGCAUUAUUUUGCUUAACGAACGAAUGAAUGACCUGAAGGAGUGAGGAGUUCUGACAGCCCAAGAGCAGAAGUCUGGGCUCAGACAGAGCUGAUGGAACAGCAACGCGACUGCUUCUGCUACGAGGCAGGAUAUGAAGCCCCUCACUCUGUCCCCCAGCCAUUCCCAUCAGUGGGACCAGAUGGAGCAGAGACUGAGAACACAAAUUCAAAGCAAGAUCCUGGGAGAAGGAAGAGGCUGAAAGAAAGAAGCAACAGGAUGAAAAUGGCCAACGGGGUAUGUGGGAGAAGAG
RNAcentral lists this long non-coding RNA (1010 nucleotides) under Capra hircus (goat). Its description in RNAcentral is "lncRNA (ENSCHIG00000007544.1)". The record is from RNAcentral. Lineage: Eukaryota; Metazoa; Chordata; Mammalia; Artiodactyla; Bovidae.